This 366-nucleotide long non-coding RNA is filed under the name Gallus gallus (chicken). RNAcentral's name for it is "long non-coding RNA NONGGAT003933". The record is from RNAcentral. Lineage: Eukaryota; Metazoa; Chordata; Aves; Galliformes; Phasianidae.
GUCUGAUAGGUACUCCUGAAAGAGGCAGAUGAGGGAUCUGUGAAGUCUGUACUUCGGUAGUGUCAACAUCAUUAUGGCUAAAUGGAGUCUUUUAUCUAGGGAGCCUUCAGUGGCUGGAAGGUGAUCCUGAAUGUUGAUCACACCAAGGAAGCAGGAUUCCGACGCCUUCUUCAGUCAGGAGGAGCAAAAGUGUUUUCUGGUCAUUCUGUGUCUUUCUUCAAAGAAGCGACUCAUCUCUUCGCUGACUUCAGUAAGCUGAAGCCAGAUGACACCAGGGUGAACAUAGCAGAGGCGGCAGAGCAGGGAGUGAACUGCUUGAAGCCAGAGUACAUUGCAGACUUCCUCAUCCAGGUGUGUGCUGUGCAG